CAUGGUGCAAUGAAGAAGAAUAGUACUUUCAGGCGGUUUCACAGAGAGUAUGCGGUUGGUGAGAGCAUACAAAUGCGCGGGAACGAACCUACUUUGGAGCAUUCCAGGAAACUGGACGCAGCCAAGCGUUACAGGCAUAAAAAAGAGAAAACCGCAUGGUUUUAAUAAGGGUGGUACCGCCGAAGCAAAGAAUGAUUUGGUCCCUUGU
This is a regulatory RNA element of Clostridiales bacterium KLE1615, 208 nucleotides long. It matches the Rfam family "T-box leader". Rfam says of the family: Uncharged tRNA acts as the effector for transcription antitermination of genes in the T-box leader family. T-boxes are found upstream of many aminoacyl-tRNA synthetase genes and some amino acid biosynthetic genes usually in Gram-positive bacteria. NCBI's taxonomy places the organism in Bacteria, Bacillati, Bacillota, Clostridia, Eubacteriales. The record is from Rfam.